RNAcentral lists this ribosomal RNA (499 nucleotides) under uncultured bacterium. RNAcentral describes it as "partial 16S ribosomal RNA". It matches the Rfam family "Bacterial small subunit ribosomal RNA", at positions 28 to 507 of the family's 1533-position model. The record is from RNAcentral.
GAUGAACGCUGGCGGCGUGCCUAAUACAUGCAAGUCGAGCGAACAGACGAGAGUGCUUGCACUCUCUGACGUUAGCGGCGGACGGGUGAGUAACACGUGGGUAACCUACCUAUAAGACUGGGAUAACUUCGGGAAACCGGAGCUAAUACCGGAUAAUAUUUAGCUUCGCAUGAAGCAAUAGUGAAAGACGGUUCUGCUGUCACUUAUAGAUGGACCCGCGGUGUAUUAGCUAGUUGGUGAGGUAACGGCUCACCAAGGCAACGAUACAUAGCCGACCUGAGAGGGUGAUCGGCCACACUGUGACUGAGACACGGCCCAGACUCCGACGGGAGGCAGCAGUAGGGAAUCUUCCGCAAUGGACGAAAGUCUGACGGAGCAAUGCCGCGUGAGUGAAGAAGGUGUUCGGAUCGGAAAACUCUGUUGUAAGGGAAGAACAAGUACGUUAGUAACUGAACGUACCUUGACGGUACCUUACCAGAAAGCCACGGCUAACUACGUG